GACGUAGGGGGCGAGCGUUGUCCGGAUUUAUUGGGCGUAAAGCGCACGUAGGCGGUUUAGCAAGUCAGGUGUGAAACCCUCGGGCUCAACCCGGGGACGCCGCCUGAUACUGCUAUGACUAGAGUCCAGUAGGGGAGCGUGGAAUUCCUGGUGUAGCGGUGAAAUGCGCAGAUAUCAGGAGGAACACCAGCGGCGAAGGCGGCGCUCUGGGCUGGAACUGACGCUGAUGUUGCGAAAGCGUGGGGAGCAAACAGGAUUAGAUACCCUGGUAGUCCACGCCGUAAACGUUGGGCACUAGGUGUGGGGCCUUAUCAACGGGCUCCGUGCCGUAGCUAACGCAUUAAGUGCCCCGCCUGGGGAGUACGGCCGCAAGGCUAAA
This 379-nucleotide ribosomal RNA is filed under the name uncultured bacterium. RNAcentral's name for it is "bacterial SSU rRNA". It matches the Rfam family "Bacterial small subunit ribosomal RNA", at positions 524 to 898 of the family's 1533-position model. The record is from RNAcentral.